RNAcentral lists this long non-coding RNA (348 nucleotides) under Gallus gallus (chicken). Lineage: Eukaryota; Metazoa; Chordata; Aves; Galliformes; Phasianidae. The record is from RNAcentral.
GUCCUUGCAAAAACGGUUGAUGAGGCAGGUCUUCCCCACCGCCAGGUCCCCCACCACGAUGAUCUUGGAGAUCUUGAAGCCCACAGUGCCCGUCCGCUGCUCCUGGCAGGCGCCGGUCACACUGGAGUGGAAUUCGGGCCGGGUGUGCAGGGCGGCCUCCUUCCGAAAGCACUGUGGCAGAUCGGCCACCACUCUGUCCCGGCGCACCGGGGCCAGCACGUUCAUGGUGCCCCACGGCCAAAGGGAUGGGAUGGGAUGGAGUGGGGCUGAGGGGAACCGCCAGGCCGAGGGGCGAUCCCCGUUCCCGCGCCCCUCCCGCUCCGCUCGGUGCUCAGCGCCGCACACUCC